Salmo trutta (river trout) is the source of this 3547-nucleotide long non-coding RNA. NCBI's taxonomy places the organism in Eukaryota, Metazoa, Chordata, Actinopteri, Salmoniformes, Salmonidae. The record is from Ensembl.
CGCUGUUAGACGUGGUGGUUUCACAAUUUAAGGAUUCCAGCUGUGAACAACCAAAAUAACACUGUCAGUGUAUUCAGCUAAGCUUGGUAAGUCAACCAUAGUUAUUGCAUGUAAAACCUUCCUAACUAAAGCAGCUAUCAGGGAAAUCAGUAAGAAAAGACGUGUUAGAGUGCAAGAAGGACAAGGACAACAGUCAGGUGUUUUUAUGUCUUGAAGGACAAGGACAACAGUCAGGUGUUUUUAUGUCUUGAAGGACAAGGACAACAGUCAGGUGUUUUUAUGUCUUGAAGGACAAGGACAACAGUCAGGUGUUUUUAGGUCUUGAAGGACAACAGUCAGGUGUUUUUAUGUCUUGAAGGACAACAGUCAGGUGUUUUUAGGUCUUGUUUUUUACACACCUGUUGUACACACUCUCAUCCUUUUACCUCCCUCUUGUCUUGUCUCUCUCUCUUAGAUUUAUUUUGAGAUGGAGUCGUCCUCGAUAGCGAUGGCAGUAUGUCUUCAUUUCCAGAAGUUCCCCUGUGUAGUUCAGAAGAAACCUCUGAAGUUCAACAUGCUGGUCAAGGUUAAACACCCACCUCAGCCGCAGCCCCCAGCCAAGAAGACACCUGUCACCAGCACCAAAGCCAAGAAAAAGGCGGUCAAAGGCAAAAAGCCUGUCGCUAAAGGUACGGCAACACCAGUCAAACCUGUUCCUUCCGCUGCUACCACCGCCAGUGCCAGUGCUACAGCUAUCUCUGCCACUCAGCCUGUGGUUACCGAACAAUCGGGAGAUAACGUAAGCGCCGUCCAGUCCAGCGAUGCUACCGACAAUGUUGACGCAAAUGAUGUCGUCAAUCCCGUCGACUCUGACACCGUUGCUGGUUCCGUACCAGCACAAACACCGGUAACAUCAGCCUCUGUCCCCGUAGCUCUUCCAGUGUCUGUAAAAGUUGAAGACAAACUGUUAGACUUCACUCCGGUAACUCAGGAGAUCCUGAAGGCCCUGGAGGCAGCAGUGAACCAACGCCGCAUGGAGAAACUAGCUGAGGAACAAAGACAGGACCAGGGAAAGAAGAGCCAGGACAAGCCUCUAUCCGACAAGAAGAGCUCUGUUGCUGGGGAGAAGGAGGAGACCAAGACCCCGGCUGGAGAACUGAACCAGGCCCCAACUCAACCAGAGAAGAAGACUGGAGAGAAGACAGUGACACCGACACAGACUCAAAAAGAUGGGAGAAAUAGAUCUGCGAUUUCCGACGAGAAAAAAAAGCUCCGACCUGAGAAGUCACAGACCGAUAAAAAGCCUCCAACCACACCAGCGAAGAAGACCACAACACAGACAGAAGGAGCAAAGAAACCACCUUCAGGCUCUGGACAACCAGAGAAGAACCAAGGGAAGACCCAAGGCUAUGGAGGAAGAGGCCGGCGCAGGGACCAUUCUUCCCCAGAAAAGAGAGACUCUUCCAGGCAUAGAAGCAGGCGGGCGGCCUCCGAGGAGGAGCAGGGUCCUCCGACGUCGAGACGCGGCGACUCCUCUAGCUCUUCUUCUGGCUCCUGCAGGAGCAACAGACAGGACGGCAGUCCCGCCAAGAAGAAGGGGAGGAAAGACGUGGAGGAGGAGAGGAGCAAGGGUGUUGGCUACGUGGUGGAUGAGUUCACGUCCGACGUCAAUCCCGGUGACACCAACCCAUUCGACCUGGACCAAUUCAACAUGGAUGAGUUCGUCACCGUGGACGAGGUGGAAGGGGAUGAGACGGACAACACCAACCCACCAGAGCCAUCAUCUUCAUCACCCAACCCACCAGAGCCAUCAUCUUCAUCACCCAAUACCCAAGAUGGCGCCUAUGAAAGGUCGGAACGAUCAUCCAAACGCAAGAGGGAUACCCCUGACACCCCAACUUCUACAACGAAAUCUAGCCAGGAGAAAGAGAGACCCCCAUCCAAAAGCACUCCCACCCCCUCCUCUUCUACCUCUACCCCCUCUGGACAGAAGACUCCACGAAAAGCCGCAACAGCCCAAAAAACGCAGGCGGCAAAACCUCAACCACCUGCCACCUCUGGACGCAAGACCAGGUCAUCAGCUGCUGUUGUAGCAACGGAAGCCGCAAAACCCAGAGAAACUGUCACUGACGAUGACCCCACAGUCGGGAUGGAGGCGGAGCCUCUUCCCGUGGAGCUUCUGUCUCAGCCAAUGGCGGAAGCAGCCGCUGCUCAGUUGGUAGAGGAAGUAGUGGUCACAAAGGGAAGUGACGUGGAGAGUGUGGUACUGUCAUCCGACCACAAGGUGUCAGUGUUGGACACGGCAUUGCCGGCGAACAAGGAAGCAGAAAGUGCUGGGUCAGAGAUUGAUAUGGAGACUAAAGUUGAAAAACCUCCAGAGGUAGACGGGGGUAAGGAGAAGGCCCAGGCUAAAAACGGUGACUCGAUUCUGGGUAGCGAGGCUCAGAAUGAAGACUGUCCACUGAAGCUUGAUUUGACUGAUCCGUCUGCCGCAGCCAAGGAGCAAGACCUUCAUACGACCCUAGAACUACAAGAGCUUGAGACGGUGUUGGGUCACCAAGUGCCCCAAUCACUUGUUGGCAAAGUACCCGAAGAAGAAGAAAAUGGAGGUUUACAGAUACUCAAAAAAACUGUGGAUGACACCGUGGUGCCUGCAGCCUCUGAAUUUACGGGUUCCCAGGAGCUCCAAACUACUCUAGAGGAACGCCAAGACGAAGAAGAAUCUGCUUUCCACGUCCUGGACUCUGUAGAAGACGAUGAAGACCGAAGAGAUUCUCUACCCAGAGAGAUGGAAGGGUUCCACAUCCUGGACUCUGUCGAUGAUCAGGUGGCUAUGACAGAAACUCUGGAAAACCAUACUACUGAAUCUAAGGGUACCUCAAAACCCCAGAAAGAGAGUUACAAAAACGGUAAUAUGACACUUCAAAAGAAGGAUGGUAAGAAGAUACCACAAACCCCUGAGAAGGUACAGACCCCCACAGUGGAGUCAGAGAGGGGUGAGGGAGGUACCCACAAAAAGACUAACCUCGUCACCUUGGAUGAGGUGAGUGAGGAAGAGGAGAGUUACCCUGACGACGCUGCCGAAGAGGAAGAGCUGAUGAAGAAACAGAAACUGGCGAAGGAGAAACGGCGAGAGAGGGAAUGGGAGAAGGAGAGGAGGAGUACAGAGCGGGAGAGGAGCAAAGAGAAGGAGCAGGAAUGGAAGAGGGGGAAGGGGAGGUUCAGUGCGGAUACGGAAUGGUUGGUGACUCUGGAUGAGAUUGGAGGAGAUGGGGAUGAGAGAGGAGAGGAGGGUGCGAGGGAUCAGGAGAGCGGAAUAAAUGAGGCAGACCUUCAAGAAUUGGUCACUCUUGAUGAGAUCAUUGGCGAGGAAGGAGGGGAGGGUCCUAGCCCGGUGCCACACCCAUUCUGCCAGGAGGACGAAUCAGGAGACUCCUUCAACACAGAGACUAUGGUGACCCUGGAUGAGGCUGGAGGUGAUCAUGACAUGGAGGAAGAACAGCCCAAGAAGUUUCCAGAACCAGCCCAGACCCGGCACACUGACAACACAGGUACAGGUGUCUCUUAG